CUCCGACAGACCUAGCUCCAGGCUGUCACCUCAGGUGAAGUCACCUGACCGUUCCAGGACUACUUACCGUUCUCACUCCACUCCAUCUACUUCAUCCUCCUUCCAAUCAGACGACCCGGUCCGCAGCUCCAGAACUCUCCUCCUUCCCUUUCAAUAAAUAUCAUUGUAAUUCA
This is a non-coding RNA of Poecilia reticulata (guppy), 173 nucleotides long. The record is from RefSeq and is a predicted model, not a curated record. Lineage: Eukaryota; Metazoa; Chordata; Actinopteri; Cyprinodontiformes; Poeciliidae.